GGCCGUGUGCCCGAGUGGUUCAGGGACUCGCCUGCAAAGCGAGUGACACGGGUUCGAAUCCCGUCACGGCCU
Molecule: transfer RNA, 72 nt
Rfam family: tRNA
About the family: Transfer RNA (tRNA) molecules are approximately 80 nucleotides in length. Their secondary structure includes four short double-helical elements and three loops (D, anti-codon, and T loops). Further hydrogen bonds mediate the characteristic L-shaped molecular structure. tRNAs have two regions of fundamental functional importance: the anti-codon, which is responsible for specific mRNA codon recognition, and the 3' end, to which the tRNAs corresponding amino acid is attached (by aminoacyl-tRNA synthetases). tRNAs cope with the degeneracy of the genetic code in two manners: having more than one tRNA (with a specific anti-codon) for a particular amino acid; and 'wobble' base-pairing, i.e. permitting non-standard base-pairing at the 3rd anti-codon position.